Helianthus annuus (common sunflower) is the source of this 2283-nucleotide long non-coding RNA. RefSeq lists it as uncharacterized. The transcript is spliced from 6 exons. The record is from RefSeq and is a predicted model, not a curated record. NCBI's taxonomy places the organism in Eukaryota, Viridiplantae, Streptophyta, Magnoliopsida, Asterales, Asteraceae.
UCCCCAUAAAGAUACUCUCCUCAUAUUUCCCUCUCAGUUUUAAUUUUUCAUUUUCAUCUUCCCACCAAAAUCUCACAGCCUCCUAAAAUGCCCUAAUUAAGAAUAUUUCCUCACGAUCCAUGUCUUCUUCUCUGUGAUUUCUUCUUCUCUAUCUUUGGCUCAUUACAUCUUGAUCACCAUUUUAUAUCGUAACACAUUGUUACAAGGGCUUCAAACCAGGACUAACAUGUCUUUGUUACUAAGGGCCAAGAUUUUAUGUUGUGCCGUUUAAAACUAAAGGUUUAAAGAUGCACACCAACUGUUUGAUGUAAUGCUUCAACAAAGUUUUCAAGAUGCAGAUUACUGGCCUCUUUCGUGUGAUAUGGACUUACCCAGUAUGUUUGGAGGGUUGAGAAGGUCGAUAGGCGGUGAAAAAAGAGUGGGUGCUGGUGGUGAUCGGACAAUCCAGGAUUGAGAAUUUGAUUCAAUAUGACGCAAUUAGUCCGUCCAUUGCAGUGGCUGGCUUACAUCCUAUUAAUUAUGCGUGUCUAUCUUAUCCCGAGUAAAAAGGCUGAAUUAGAGUCAGACGAGUUGUUUGCUGAUAUAUCUUUGAUGCCUAAACCUGAUGUGAGUCUACCUUCUGUAUAUCCUUGUGGUAUGCGUGUAGUUAGCAUUUGAUUAAUGGUUUGCUGGCACACUACUGGGAUCAAUGGAAGUUUUGGCACUACAAGAAAUAUGAGCAUUAGCGAUGACCUUUUUAGCGGCAACACCAAGCAUGUCGUCGCUAAUGGUCACGAUCUGAAGCGCUCACAUAAUAAAGGAACUUCCGCCUUAGGUCACCUUUUGCUUAUUAGACACGCCUCGUAAACACUUUUUAAAACUAACGUAUAGUAGAAUAAGAAAAAUAAUUAUUUUCAUAUGUAUUUUCCUAUAAUAUAUUAGUCUAUAUACUACCGCUUGGUUAAUUCGACCCUAAAGAGUUAAAAUAUUUUUGUUGAACAUCGUCUUUCCUACAUCGUUUUCCUUAAUCAGCAAAUAUGAGCUGCAAGACACAGCAUAGAGCAACAAAAAUCAACAUAGAUACCAGCGAUAGAGUUUAGUUAAUUCAACCCAUUUUCUAAUACUUUAGCAGCCCGUGGCCUGCAUUUUAAAAAAGUUCAGUUGGUCCAUCUGAGUUACCUGAUUCAAAAGGGAUGAUAUGCGGUUCAGGUGGUGUGGAUGAUAUGUGUGUACGUACCGUUGUAAUUUAAUAACCUCAAAUGCAUAUAAUUUCCAUACUAUAUGUUGCACUCGAAAAAACUGACCCGCAGGCAUGAGUUUGGUAUAAAGAUUCUCCGGGUCAUUCUGGACACGGGUCAGAUGGGUCAUGAUAACUAAGAUGGGUAACCACUCAUAACUGAGAAUGGGUCAGAUGGGUCAUUAUAAAGACCCCCAGGUCAUUCUGGACACGGGUACCUGCAACCUGGAUUACGGAAGAGAGACGAAAGGGAUACACACAUGGAAAUCGAAGGAGAGAGACAAGAAGGAGGUGAAUGGCAGUGAGUGGCAGGUGACGGGCGGUGGGCGAAGAUGCUGAAGCAGCUGGUUGUAUCUGGUUAUAGUUUGUUUCUCCUUUUCUUUAUCACACUUUAUUUUAUGUUAAGUUAUUAAAAUAUUAAUCAAUUUACGUUUUGCAAUUUCAAUUACAAGUAUUUUCCCAAUAUUUUAUUAUGACUAUUGACAGAGUAUUAGAUUUAUUUAUAAUUUUUAUUUCAAAUCAAACAAUUAUAAAUAAGCGAUCUCAAACAAUAAUUUAAUCAUGAUUAUUUAGAGUGACCUGUUUUUGACCUGAACCCAUUCUGACACGACCCAUUUUGACCCGAACUCAUACUGACCCGCACCCAAUACCCAUAUCCUGACCCGAACCCGUUCUGACCUGGACCAAAAUGACCCUUGCUACAUAGGUGAUAAAUUAAAUGCGAUAACGUUAGUGGUAAAUAUGAAAUUGAUGAUAGGUGUGCAGCAAUACAAGUUGGGAUAAGAAGUUACCCUUUGCUCGUGCAGAUUGGUGGAGUGUUUUAUGUUGACAUAGCUGGGUUCGAGGCGUGGACAUACUCAAGGUCCGACUCUUGCUUCUAAGGCGUUUCGUCUUCAAUUUCGGUCAAUUACUCCUGGUGUUAUAAAUGGAACGCAGAUUGAGCCAAUCCCAAGCAGAAAUCUGCCUCCUAGGUUUGAACCAAAUACAUCUCGCAGUGUGAGCGGUUUACAUAUGAUUUUUUAGUUUGUUAUUCUCCUUUUCAUAUGCAUGUUCAAGCAUGACGAAUG